This is a non-coding RNA of Electrophorus electricus (electric eel), 1365 nucleotides long. Lineage: Eukaryota; Metazoa; Chordata; Actinopteri; Gymnotiformes; Gymnotidae. The record is from RefSeq and is a predicted model, not a curated record.
UAUGCACGGUGUUAAUAACCCUAAUCACACGCGUGACAACACGACAUGACACACAAAACACACGCUUCAUGCAACUACCUGUACAUCUAGAGAUAGCUAACUUUCAAAUAGUUUGCUUAUGAUUGCGCGUUUGAGGUUUCACACGGGGGGGAAAAAAAGCAACUGACUUGCCCACGCAAGGCAAAUCAAAUGAUGUCAGGUUGGUGUUUUGCUUGUAGUUCUGCAACUUCAAGAGUUGCUGAUCGCAGCGUUGCCCUUCCGAAUGACACUAUCCCACAUCACCUGCUGGUGGGACUCUCGACAACCUCCACACCGUGCAGCCCAUGUAAUCAGCCAAAACCGGCCGAAGCCUUUUCGUGACUGCAUAUUCAUUACAGCCAGUGACUGGUGAUUUCCACCAGGAAGCUGCCCAGCUGCAGUACAGGUGCCACGACCCUGACCAAGACCCUGACAGGACCACCAGGGCCGUACACGCCACGCCAUGGAAACCUCCCUCCAGCCUCCACACACACUCCUCAGACGCCUUGGAAUGAGCCAAAUUUGUUGUUCGAUGGCUUUACUAUAAAAGAAAGAGAAAAAUGCCGUCUUUCUCGUUGGUAGUCGAUGAACAAACAAGCAGGCCAUGUACUUGUUAUUUCCACUGGGAAUGUAUUAACACUUUAGUGGCGUUCUCUUUCUUUUCCAUCACAUUUGAAAAUCUGAAUUUUGAUAUCUCUGAUAGAGUGAUAUACAACUUUUUAAAAAAAGAUUUUGAGUUUGUGUAUGGCUGAACUCACCCCUUCCACCAUCCAAACACAGUGCUCAAAAACCUCAGUUUAGAUAAGUUCAAUGUGAUUUGUUGUAAUAAAAUCUUGUUUGCAGCCAGUUUUAACAAAAAAAAAACACAACAAAAAUGCAAACAGGCAUCAUAAAAAACACAUGACAGCACAAAUCCAUAAUAUUUAAAUAGCUAGCAUUCACUUGGUUACCACAUUUAAUGUAGCUCAGAUAAAAUUCUAAACUAAAGGAUGUUACAUAGGCACUAGUAAGAAUGGGACAGUCCUAACUAUUCCUAAGAAUCAGUUUUCACAUGCAAGUGAUGGAUCUUAACUGAAAUAAUAGACUGUGUAGUUGCUGUGUCUGUUUCUGAGGUAUUACUUGCUUCCUCUUUUGAAGAAAAAAAUUAACUACGUGUUUUAGAUAAACAGCUAAUAUAUGUCCUAUUAUCGAAUCAGUCAGGACAGUAGAAAGUGACUCAGUUGUAUCUGGGUAAAGUAUAUACGAAACCACUCGGAAAUCGGACGUUAAUUUAACAGCCUUGUCAUGUCCAGAAAUCCUCUUUUAAUAAAUGAUUCAUCAGUGGACUGAUGAAGUCAGUAAAACUAA